Molecule: unclassified non-coding RNA, 336 nt
Filed under: soil metagenome
Description: partial contains 5.8S ribosomal RNA, internal transcribed spacer 2, and large subunit ribosomal RNA
Rfam family: 5.8S ribosomal RNA (bases 1-120)
Source: RNAcentral
GAUGAAGAACGUAGCGAAAUGCGAUAAGUAAUGUGAAUUGCAGAGUUUUGUGAAUCAUCGAAUCUUUGAACGCACAUUGCGCCCCUUGGUAUUCCAUGGGGCAUGCCUGUUCGAGCGUCAUUUGUACCCUCAAGCUUUGCUUGGUGUUGGGUGUUUGUCCUCUCCUUUGCGUUUGGACUCGCCUUAAAGCAAUUGGCAGCCAGUGUUUUGGUAUUGAAGCGCAGCACAUUUUGCGAUUCUAGCCGAUAAUACUUGCGUCCAUAAGCCUUUUUUAACUUUUGACCUCGGAUCAGGUAGGGAUACCCGCUGAACUUAAGCAUAUCAAUAAGCGGAGGA